UACGUAGGCAGCAAGCGUUGUUCGGAGUUACUGGGCGUAAAGGGUGCGUAGGCGGCUUCUUAAGUCUGGUGUGAAAUCUCCCGGCUCAACUGGGAGGGUGCGCCGGAUACUGAGGGGCCAGAGUGUGGGAGAGGAAAGUGGAAUUCCUGGUGUAGCGGUGAAAUGCGUAGAUAUCAGGAGGAACACCGGUGGUGUAAACGGCUUUCUGGACCAUAACUGACGCUGAGGCACGAAAGCGUGGGUAGCAAACAGG
Molecule: ribosomal RNA, 253 nt
Filed under: uncultured bacterium
Lineage: Bacteria
Description: partial 16S ribosomal RNA
Rfam family: Bacterial small subunit ribosomal RNA
Source: RNAcentral